UAAAAUAAAUAAGAAUGAGAAUGUAUAUAGAUAUUUAAUAAAAUUAAGUCACGAGCCAAUUGAAUUUAGUGCAAACCAAUAAUUGAGUAAUUAUGUAAACCCUAGUAGUUUUGCAAGUCUACAAGUAUCUCAAAUAUACUGAGCGAUGCUUAAGCUUUAAUCAAUCUCUGGGUUCACUUGAUAAACCAAACAAGAUCCAAACAAAUACACCCCUCAAAUUCUUUCUUGUGAUGCAUACACUGCGCAGAGAAGAUUAUUAACGGCCAUUUCACUUGAAAAGACAUUACUAAUAGUUUUAGUUUUUUUUUUUUUGGUAAAAAUAAAGCUAUAUCAAGGAGACGGUUUAGAAUUUGCAAAACAAAUCUUCCAGUGUUCUCUUUCUAUUUAUUUAUUUAUGUUUUCCUUUAUGUAUACAGCUUUGAUGUGAAUGAUACUUCUCAUGGGAGCUUUCGGCUUAGAUUGAUCUUUCAAAACUCAGGCGAUCCUCUUCAGAUGAGCUGCAAAUGUAGAUAGAGCUGAAUCUUCUUGUCAAAGUGCAUAAAUUUAUUUGUUAACUAAUUAGAAACUACGUCCACAGAGGCGAUUCACAAACAGAUGCUCAUAGUUUUGCCACUUGUUUGCUGAAGUUUGGAUCAAUGCAAACAACCACCUUGCCAACACUUUUACCCGAAUGAAGAUACUCUACAGCAUCUGCAACAGCAUGAACACCAACAAAUCUUUUGGGAUCUAUGGAAACCUUAAGCUUUCCUGUAGAGAAAAGAUCAAAUAGCCUGUCCAGAUGCUGUUGCCAUAAGUGACCAUAUUGAAUUAGGAAAAAACCAGCCACUGUUUGGCUUUUCGCUAAAAUCUUCUCACAAAGUCCAGUAUAAUUUGAUGGCAUCCAUCCAUGUUCUCCUUGAUACUGUGAAAUCAUUCCGAUCACAAUAAGUCGUCCAUGGACUGCUAAAGCAUUCAGACACAGGCCAAACAUGUCACCACCAACAGAUUCAUAGAUGACAUCAACACCUUUAGGAAAUUCCUUCUUUAGAACAGUUUUGAUAUUUUCAACUUUGUAAUCUAUGACUCGGUCAACUCCCAAUUCUUUCAAGAGCGUUGCCUUUUCCUUACCUCCACAGGUUGCAACUACUUUAUUUCCUGCCAACUUUGCAAGCUGGACAGCAAAUUGCCCAGUCCCUCCUGCUGCAGCAGUAACAAGAACUACUUUUCCAGAUUCCAUCUGUCCAGCCUAAAGUUCCAUAAGAAAAGAACAUCAUUAGAAUUUAUAAGAAACAAAAUGAAGCUAAACUUCCAGACUUAGCACACGCAUAAAGCAUAACCUUCUCUAGAGCAAUUGACGCUGUUAAUCCUGAUGUAAGCAUGGCAACAACUUCAGGAUCUGGUCUUGGCACAGGAAGAAUAUGUUUUGCAGGAACCACUGUGAAUUCAGCAUAACUUCCAAAAGUCAUAAUUGCAGCAGGAGUGCCAACUUUCAAAUCCCGAACAGAUUCCCCCAAAGCUGCAAUUAUUCCCACUGCCUCAAAACCAGCAUCAAAUGGAAGACGAGAACCAAGGUCUUUGUUGUUGCCCGUAAAAUACCGUCCAGAGCUGAAGUUUACCUGAUUGCAAGUUAAUAGCAAGUCAUUGUUAAAAAACACAUACAAGCACAUUAAUGGGUAUAGAUAUAGAGAUAGGGAAAUCAUAUAUGUGAAUCAAAUAAUUUGCCCCAAAGAAGAAAAAUGCCUUGGUAUGGUUAUGCAUGAUAACAGUGAAAAUGAAGAUGAGACUUAAUGUGAGACUUCCUUUCCCCACAUAUCUCCCUCCUAUCCAACUUUUCUUAUAAAAAGCCUCUCUUUUCUGUCAAUUAACAGCUUUCUCUAAUCAAAACCCCACUUUAGUGGACAGAAAUUCAAAUGGUUUCACAUAGCUGACAAGUUUGAACAGGAUUCUGUAGCUGUUCUUAACUCUUUCCUCAAUCAAACUACAACCUUGACAGAAGCCAAUUGUGCUUAAGACAUAAACUUAGAAGGUCACAUCCUUAAUCUCAGUUGUAAGUAAAGGAUGAUGAAGCACACUGCAGAACAACAACCCAAACUAUAUAUUUGUCAUGAGAAUACAUGUGUUUGUGUGUGUGUAUAUAAACAAGCACAGUUUCCUUAUUAACAAAUAUCUAGGUGAAACAAUGUAAUGUAACAAACGAGAACACAUCAUUAGCUGAAUAACCCAUUUUACUAACCGUCAAAGACCAAAGAAUAGAAGACAAUUUAACCUACUCAUGCAAGUAAAAACUUAGGGAGAACAAACUAUGUUGAUAUACAUAACUGCAAGAGGCAAUUAGCCAUACAGUGAAUCUUCUCUACAAAACCGAGGAAUUACAGACUUGGACCUUGGGCAACAUAGAUAACAACAGAAUAAGAUGUAGAGGGGAAAAAAUGAAAAGGAAUUGAAGUUGAUCUUUUCAACGAGCUUACAUCACUAGCAUUUACACCAGCAUAAAUGACUUUCACAAGAACUUGAUGUGGUUCAAUGGGUAAUCGCAGUGGUGUGCUUACAAUGCGGGUAGCAUUGCGGAAAUUGUGACUCAAAGUAUGGACAACUCUGAAAAGCAAAAUCUAACAUGCAUUAGUAAGCAACUUUAGGAAACAAUUACAGAUUGUAAGAUUAUUACAAUUUAGAAGACUUACAUGCGUUACUUCAAUGAGAUAGGAUAUCAUAAAUUAAAGCAGUUAACCUAGAGGGUGUGAGGCAAAUAUAUCACACUUGUCAAAAUUAUAAGAUAAAACCUUCCAGCAAUAGAAGUAAACACUUACCAUUCCAUCAAAACCACCAUAUAAGGCUACAUUAAACUUUAUUAGAAUGUUGAUUCAAUAUUUCAGCUCACUACUUAAAAAUAACAGUUCAUUUUUAAAUAGAUGAAUGUUUUCGAUUACAAAUUGAUUUCAAUUUUGCCGCUACAAUAAACCAAUUCAAAACCAUAUAUAUAUAUAACCAAUUUUUUUUUAUUUAAACAAAUGAGAUAAUAGGUAAGAGUGUAGAAACCAAACAAUUCUGACCCUGUUUUUGUUUAUUUGGUUUUUUAAAUUCCAAAGAACUGGUUUGGUUUGAAAUUCACCGGUUGCAAUUUAACAUUUGAUUUUAGCAUUACCUCGAACCAACCAAACCAGACCAUACAUACUGCGAAAUAGUAGGCAUGCUGCACAAUUCUUGCAGGAAACCCAGUGGUCCAACCACUGUGUAUGCAGGAAACAAUCAAAUGUAUAUCAUUUGUUCCAUUCUGAAAAAGGUAUUUUCUUACGUCUUCCAACACACCCCUCAUGUUCCUUCCCUUUGUUUCUCAUUCAUAUUACUAACAUUCAUUUUAGAAUAUAAUUAAAGGGUAGGAAAAUAAGAAUAGAAGCUGCCCAAACAACUCCAUAUAUUAGAUAAGAACACCAAAAUAGAGACUGAUAAAAAAAAUACAGACGGAUGAACAUGACAGUUACUGGGAGAAAGAUAAGAUUCAAAUGAAAUAAAUAUACUAAACAGUAGGGAGAGCUUCAACUGCAAGCACAGAAGGACAAAUCAUUCUAUAUGGUGAUUGGUGUGGGUACAAUUCAUGAAUGGAAAGGAUUAAUAUUCAACUAAUGUAAAUUGAUUUUGAAUUUAUAUAUAAUGAACAAAAAUCUAAAUAAACGAAAUAAAUAAGUUUAAACAAAAUUUCUCACAUCUUCUCAAAGCUUUGAGGAAGUUGAAGAUUUGUUGGGGCUUUGAAAGAAACCCUUUUCCUGGAAGCUGAAGAACGCACCAAGUAUUUUGCUUCUUCUGCAGGAGCGGGCCAAUAUUCCAUACCCCUGCGAUGUGUUAUCCACAGGCAAGAGCCAGCUUUACUCUCAUCAGUAAUGAGCUCAAAUGCACCUUUGAUUACCGUUUUCAUCGGAAUAAAGCCUCCCAUCAAAUCAACAAAUUUAGCAUCGAUUUUUGAUCCCAUCUCAGUUUCAACAAACUCAGGACAAAGCACAUUAAUGCGAAUACCUUGACGUUUGUAUGGAACAAGUGAUCUAGUAAACAUAACAACACCACCUUUAGAGCCAGUGUAGAUAGGGUCAGUAUACAGAGGAUAAAGACCUGAAGCAGACCCCAGAUUUAUAAUGACUCCAGGCUUUUGUGCAGCUUUCAUAGCUUUUAUCGCAAGCCGAGUGCAAUCAAUUACUGCAACCAGGUUCACGUUAACAGCGUGCCUCCACGAAUGAGUACCAUCAGUUUGAUCAUUAUAGAAUGGUAUAGAAGUACCUAUACCAGCACUGUUGAUACAGAUAUCCAGUCCUCCAUAUGUUGCUACAUGAUUCUCAAAAGCAGCAGCCAAAUCUCUCGAGUUUGCCACAUCGCAUCUAAUAAACAGAGCAGUUGGGAAUUCCAACUUGGAAUGGAAUUUGGCAUUCUCUUUCUCAAUGAGGGAUACAACUUCCUUCCCCUUUUCUUCCAAGAAAUCAACAACCGUAACAAACACUCCCUUCGCUCCCAGAGCUAAACUAAGCGCCUUCCCAAUCCCCGAGGCUCCACCAGUGACGAAAGCUGAUAAACCUGGUUUGAUCUCCAUAGAAAUGGCGUUUACUUCAAUUCUCAGUAGUGAUGUUAACGAGAGAAGAUUAACCAGAUAUAUAGCCUUGGAGGUGUGGAAAGAUCACCUUUUAUAUUAUUAACAAGAUCGAUAUAGCCUUGUAUUUUUCUCAACUUUAAGGUGUUCU
Molecule: unclassified non-coding RNA, 4700 nt
Filed under: Hevea brasiliensis (rubber tree)
Lineage: Eukaryota; Viridiplantae; Streptophyta; Magnoliopsida; Malpighiales; Euphorbiaceae
Source: RNAcentral